UAAAAGAUAAGGUAAGAAUACUCUUCAAUUAAAAAUGGUGGGCAUCGUCGAGCGCCUUUUUUCAAUAAAUUUCUUUAAGGCAGCAACCAUUUCAAUUGGAGAGCUUGUUUGAUUCUCAAAAAUAGCUUUGUUCGUGACCUUUCAUACAUUUCAACACAAACAAGCUAGUAGAUCUAUUUUUCUCUCUCCACCAUGACCACCACGUAGGGAUGCCGAUGAAGCUUCCCACCAUGCUCGAAAACUUGAGAAUUGAUUGGCAUCUUUGACAGAUUAGACUUGUUGUAGGAAACUUUCGGUGCAGUUGUGAAAGAACAGGGAGUUGUUCAUGCAAGCAUUUUUAAAUAAAAAUCUGAAUCUUGUGAGAAAUUUAUUGUUUCCAAAUAUCAUUCCAUACUAAUUAUUUUGAUUCUGAUUUGGGUUUACAUCUGGGUAAGAAUGGUAAAAUUGAUAUGCAACACAGUAAUCAAAAGCAACAUCAUAUGAUUUUGACUUGUUUAAAACCCAUUCUAAAACAUUUCACCCUCAUCCGAUUUGAUUAUUUCAAUUCGGAGAUAAUAAAAGGGGAAAAAAGUUACUGUAGGAGGUGCUGAUUUCAUUCUCUGUUUUCUAUUAAAAGAUCUUUAACAUAGGCAACUUGAUAGGAUUGUGUGUGAAAAAUCAUAGCUGAAAAAAUACUCAUUGGGUAAGGAGGAGACAGUUAUGUGUCUGAAAAAAAUACGAAUUGAAAUUACAGAACCAACUUUCUAAUGGAGGCCCUUUUCAACUACUUUUUGUCCCUCCAACAUACUGCACCAUCCUUAAGAAGGUAUGUUCCUUACUUCUGCAGACAUAAUAUUACCAUAUAUAUAGUAUUUACCUUUGUAUAUCUAGGUUAGGAUAGUCUGUGAUUUUGUUGUGAUUCUUCAAAACUGUUUGCUUAAUAGAGCUAGGUUUUGAACUCAGAGAUCUUUAAACUCGAGACGCCAUCCUUUUUUGGUCGAGUCAUUUGGUCUCAACUAAUCUACGCCAUACACUUUUCAGUCCAUUUCUGUCCCCAUCAGAAAUUAGUCAGGAUACUAUGAAUUUCAGAUAGGAGAGUAACUGGUAAUUUGAAAUAUGAUAGUGUGUAUAUAAGAACUACCUCACCUAUAACCCUUAGAACUUGUCAGCCUCCAGCUGAUAAUAGAUUUCACUGUCAUCCAUGCAGCUUUUUUCUUAUUUUCUUCCUAAUUUCACUAAAAGUUUCACUCUUGGAUUUCUGGACAAGAGAAGAAAACUCCAAAUACUUAUUUUGAGCUCCAAGUAAGAGAUAUUUAAUCUACCUGCUAUAUAUGUCUGAAUCUGAGGAGAGGUGUUGUUACUGAAAAAGAGAGCUGAUUUAUUCAAAUUGACCUGUUGAUCACUAAUACAUUCAUAUGAAUUGAACAAGUUCAGAAUAUUUUUAUAAUUCUCUUCUAAGACCUUACAAAAUAGGAUAGAGUCAUCAGCAAAUAGCAAGUGAUUUAUAAUAGGACAUCACCGAUUAAUCUGAUUCUCCGGGACCUGUUUGUUUUGUUCUACUUUGUGUAGUAAGAAGGAAAGCCUUCUGUACAGAAAAAAAAAGAUUGGGAGAAAGAGGAUCACCCUGUCAAAUUCUCUUUUCUGGUUUGAAGAACCCAAAGGGUUGAACUUCCACAAUAACAGAAUAAGAAAUAGUUGACACAAGUUCACGAAUCCAGUCAAUCAAUUUUACCCCAAAACCUAGUUUGUCCAUAAUGAACCAUAAAAAUCUUCAUUCGACUCUGUCGUAGACUUUUCUCAUAUCCAAAUUGACAUCCAUUUCGGUCUCCAGACCACUCUUCUUAUUUUCAAGAUAAUGCAUGCAUUUAUGUGCUAUUAGAAUGUUAUCAGAGAUAAGAUUUUUUUUUAUAAAAGCACUCUGACUAGGGCUUAUCACUAAAUGCAUGAAUUUUUACAGUCUAUGAACUAGAAUUUUAGAAAUAAUUUUAUACAUAAUUAUAGACAAACUUAUUGGCUAUACUUAAGUCAUGUUGCUAGCAUCAGUAAUCUUUGGGAUCAAGCAAAUCUGAGUAGAGUUGAAAUUCUUAAGAAUUUUCUUCCUCCAAAGAAACUCCGAACAACCCUGAAAAUAUCUCCUCCUACAAUGUCUUCAAUACUUCUAAAAAAAUCUACAAUCAUACCAUCAUCUCCUGGAGCACUCUGGAGAUGGACAUUGAAGAUGGCUCGCUUCACUUCUUUCAUAACUACAAGUCUUUACAGCCGUCGGUUCAUGAGAGUUGUAACUUUAGGCUUAAAGCCCUGAAAAAUAGGUUCUCGGACUGUUUGACAUGUAGAGAAAAUUUUUUUUUUGAAGUAAUCAUCGGCAAUUGUUGCUAUACCUUGGUGCGUGAAAACUGUAUUUCUAGUAAGGCCAAUCAACCUCUAAAUUUUGUUUCUCCUGGUUCUGCCUUUGAACUUCCUAUGAAAGAAAGUUGUGUUUUUAACCCCUUCCUUGAGCCACUUGAUUUUGGAUUUUCUUUUCAGUAUCUUUCUUCAUUAAGCACUGCUUUUUUCAACCUCUGUUCUAGCUCCAUCAUUUUCACAUCUCCCUGAAUCCCACUCUGUCUUAGCUCUUCUAUUUCCGAGACAAGCUAAUAAUUAGUAGCCCUUUUAGAGUUAGCAUUACAAGACUGUUGCCAUUGUACCAACUUAUGGAGACAAAAUUUAAUCUUUUAAGCCACCACAUACAUUGUCGAGCCUUCUAUGCUAGUCUUCUAGACAUCCUCAAUUAAACGCUGAAUUUUUUCCACUUUACAUUAUCUAUCUUGAAACUUAAACUUGCAUUUUGAUUUUUUCAAAUGGAGAGAGAAAUCUAUGAGCAAUAGGCCGUGAUCUGAGCAGUAUCAGAUAGGAAAAGAACCAUCAGAUUAGGGUAUAGCUAUAACCAAUCCUCAAUUGCAAAACACCUAUUAAGUCUCUCUUGAAUUAACUCAUUUUCCCUCAUCCUAUUACUCCAUAUGAAUUUCCUGCUAAUCAUACCUAAAUUAGCCAAUAAUUUUUUUCAAUGAAACUAUUAAAUUCUGCCAUACUCACUAGGGACUUUUUUUUCUCCUCCCUUCUUUUCACUUGGGUUGGUAAUGGCAUUGAAAUCUCCUACAACAAUAAUUUUUUCUCUGUUUUAUCUGAUCGGUGCUAAUAUCUUUUCAAAUCGUUGAUGCCGGAGUUGAUCGUUAUGAUUGAAGUGCACACCAAUGAAUAACCAUAUCUCUCCCAAAUAGAUAUCCUUAAUUCUCACUACUAUAAAGAACUCCUUAGCUUCAAAAAUCUUGCAUCCACACCCUCUUUCCAUGCCAAAACUAAGCCAUCAUCCCUCCCAUUUGGUUUCACCAUGUACCACUUUGCAAAGCUACAUUCUCUCAUCUUUACCUCCACUUGUCGAGAUUGAUUUUUGAUUUUACUAAUAAAACCAAUCUCGGGAGAGUAGGAUUUACUAAUCCCUUUAAGAAUAUGGAUUGUCAGGGGGUCUCUCCAAACUCCAACAAUUCCAUAUAGGUAGUCUCAUAGUUCCCCGAAUGCCAGAUGAUAGCUCAGGUAUUACGACUCUUAAAAUAUUUAAUACUAAAAUAUGAGUCUGCUUAAAUUUAAAACCGAAUUUUUAAAAUACACCUCCAUACUUUUCAAUACAAUUUACAAUACGUAUAUAUAUAUAUAUAUAUAUAGACACACACACACACAUCAUACCAAUAUAUAAACUUCACAUAUCAAAACUCAUAUCCUUCUUGCAAAAAUUAUAAUAUUAAUGGAAAGGGGAGAAUAAUAAUAACUAAACUAAAAUAUCUUCUAUCGCAUAAGCUAAACUCAACUACUCUUCAUAAGCUUCUUCGUUCGUUUCUUGAAAAGAGAAGUCUGUAGGAAAGUGAGAACCUAACCACAUAGUCCCACCUCUAAGGUUUUGUAGCUCUCAGGUAGUUCCCACAAUUGUACUCAUACUCGAAAGCUAUGGAUCAAAUAGCCUUUUACCUGAUCCGUCUCCUUCCAAUGUCGGACAUAGAAGAUGAAAUCCUUAAAAAGUCAAAGGAAUCUUUUCUCUAUUCACAGCAUAUCCAAUUCACUAUUGAAGAAAGAAUUGGAAUUGGUUCCCUCUCUUUUCAACAACUCUAAACCUUUUUGGUCUCUCCCAAAUAACAUUUAGAGAAAAGGACAAAUAGGUCCCUGACCUUUUGUCCUGCAAAUGUUUUUGUCUCUGACCAUUGAAAAAUACUUUUAAGUCCCUGACCUUCACAAAAUUUGGAUAGAUCAGUCCCUCCGUCCAAAUGUCUCCGUCAGGAACUGAUCCGUCCAAAUUUUGUGAAGGUUAGGAACUUAAAAGUAUUUUUUAAUGGUCAGAGAUAAAAAUAUCUGUGAAGCAAAAGAUCAGGAACCUAUUUAUCCUUUUCUCUAACAUUUAAAGCAUUAGUCAUUGUUCUUGCUGAGAAUAAUUUUACCACCACUAUCCUCCUAAUAAGACUUUUGGAACAUGCCCUGAUGCCUUGAUGGAUGUCAUCCUCUCCUACUACUAUAACUGUCUUUGUCUCUUUCUCAUUUUCUACCUAAUUGUGUUGGUGUCUCGUGUUUUCUCUUGCUCCAUCUUAUCUUGUUACACAAAUCUAAUCAUAUUAGAAUUAAUUUUUUUUUCACAAAAGCUCAUAAAAACACUUUUGUCCCAGUAGAGUACCUAAAAAAACCUUAAGGGUAUUCACAUAACAAAUCAAGAAUACUAAUACUAAUAUUAAUAAUCCUAUAUUAAUAGUUGACUUGUAAAUAGUAAUUGAUAUUUGGUGUUUAUAUAGUAUGAUUGUAUAUGAAAAAUAUAAAAUCUUAUUUAACUUUUUCAUUAACAUAACAAUUAAUUUAUGGGGAUACUUGGCAGUUAAAAUAAAUUUUAUAAAAAAUAAAAUAAAAUAAAAGUAACAAAUAUUAUAGAAAAAAUGUUGACUAAAAUAAUAUAAUUUGGGACCGAAAGAGUAACGAAGGAAGGCUAAAAAAUUUGAUUAUGAAAAUAAUGAUCAUCGAAAAUCAAUUUGGGGAAAUGUCUCAAAAUGGGCCGUAUGGGUAAAAUCUAGGAUAUGCCCUUUUUUGUAGUUGUAGUCUAUGAAAAAGGAUUUUUUUUUUAAAAUAAAUACUUUUGCAAAUUGCGAAAAUCAGUGUACUUUUUUGUUGUUAUUUUCUUGCCAAAAAUCCUUUCUAAUGUUUUCUCUUACUUCAAGUGAUUUUUUUUAAUUGAUAUUGUCAAACAUAAUCUUAUAUUAUCCAAUAUUUUUUUUAUAUAUAUUUUAGUUUUAUUUAAAGAAUAUAAAUCAAGAUAUUACACUUUAUAACAACAAUUGAAAAAAAAAUUAAAAAGAUCUAUUUCUAUUACAAGAUUAUCUUGAUAUUCACUUAACAUUCCAAUAAUAAAAUUUAUUUCUGGUUUAAUGCAUGUCUGAGCAGACAAUAGAUUUCUAGUUCUUGAAGUAAAGAAUAGACUCCAUUGAUUUUUACUUCAAUUUAUUCUUGAGACAUUACAUUUGAUUUAAUUUGUCUUGUAUACAAAUUGAAAUUAUUUUUAAGGAACAACUUUUCAUUCUAAAUUUCUGUAAUAAUUUAUUGAUGUUCUUUCCGAGACAAUGAUAAUACACUUUGUAAAUUAUCAAGGAACAUUUUUAUUUCUAUUACAUAAGAUGUCUCAUUCAUUUUUUCUUAUUUCAAAUUUAUCAGAGAAAAAUCUUUAUACAUCAUGUAACAAACCGACAUCAUUAGUAGUAAGAAGAAUGUCAUCGAAAAAUAUAGGAACACUAUAUUAAACUUCCUCCCACCAAUUUUCAUGUAGAUACACUUAUCAACAUUAUUCUCAACAAAACCAUAUGAUAAGAAAGUAUCAUCAAAAUUGAUAUACCGUCUAAAAGCUUAUUGAUGGUUAAUGAAGAAAAAGGAAAGGUAACACUACCUUUAGCAGAAACUGAAAAAAAUUUACACUUUGACAUAGUUGAUGAGAAUUUUGUUGCAUAGAUAUACACAUGGCAUCUCAAUAGGAAUGCAGAAGUAAGUGAUUUUAUCUUUGAACAGAGUUUAUAGAAUACUGUUUCACUGUUAGUAACUUAGUAUAAUAGAAAUGUUGGUGCUUUAAACAAAUUUAAUACAAUUUCUAUUAUAUUUAGUAUUUAGGAAUUCUUUUAGUGAAGAAUAGAACUGAGUAAAGAGUGAAGAUUUUAUCUAAAUUAUAAAGAAUAUAUGCAUUGUGUAUGAUAAAUUUUUUAAUGUGUUUUUUUUUUUUUUAACUGAAAGAAGCACCCUUGGUAUUUAGUAUUAUAGUUUCUUUUUUCUUGAUUUUGUUUGGAGAGUAAUGCUAUUGCAGUCUGAAAAUUGGAGAGGAAGAAUAUAGCAGAGCACAUGCAAUUUGCAAAAUUUGCACACACACACGCACAAAAAAAAAAAAAAAGAAAUAAGGUGUUGCUGCACAUUAAUGUUGUGACCAAUACUUGGAAGUUAGUCUUUUGGGUGUGGAGCAUCUUCCAACUGUCCAAAUAAUUAUUAUAAAAAUAAAUAAGAACAGACAGAAAUAGAUCUAGUCAUCUUACUUAUAUUUGUCGCCAAGAAUUGCAAUAGAUGUCCUGAGAUUUGUAGCCAAUAAUAAUAAUAAUAAUUUCCUCUCUAUUUUCUUGUAAUUACCGAAAGAGAUUUAAUGUUGGAAUUUAGCUUAAUUUUGGAAAUAAUUUGAUUUUAAAAAAGAUUCAAAGUUGGAAUUGGUUUGAUUUAAAAGAGAUUUAAUAUUAAAAAUCGGUUUGAUAUUGAAAUUGAUUUGUUUUUUAAAAUGAUUUGAAAAGAGCUUGAGAAAUGAUUUGGUUGGGACUCUGGAGGAGUGACAAAGUUCGAAUUUUAGGAGAGAUGCUGUACAAAUUUUUAUAAAAUUGGAGAUUCCAUUUGAAGUGCUUAUUAGAAAGAUUUGAAUUUUUUUAAGGAUUUCAUAAUUUGAUUGAGUUAUUUAAAAAAGGAUUACAUUUUGAGUUUGCUUAUUUAGAAAAUAAUGAAUUGUGGUUGCGGAAACGUUGAGUUAUAAAUGAAUAAGAUAUAUGACCCCGGGUAAGAGGCAGUGGCAUUGUUCACUUGUUCCGGAAAAGAGAUGGAAAAUAAGAAUGAUGAAAACUGAGUUUGAAUUAUGAAAUUAAAUUGAAUGAUAUUGAGAAUGGAGUUGAAAAUGAAAUUGAAUUUUGAUUGAGAUAUAUGUGACCGGGUAAGAUGUAAUGGUGCUAUCCACUUGCUCUGGAUAAGAGUUCGAGACUCCAGGUAAGAUGCAAAGGUUGAGUUCUGUCGCCGCUUGCUCCGAGUUGAGAAUUGUAACACCACUUAGAUAAGAGGCAGGGUAAAAUUGUCCCCUGCUCCAGGUACACGGGUAAGAUGCAAGGGUUGCAGUGUUGUCCCACUUGUUCCGUGUUUGGUGUUCUGUCCAUGGUUAGCUACCAGGACAUGUCGGGUUGGCUGUAUAAUCGACAGAUGACCUCAUUAACCAUAGGGUAGACAUGCAUCAUAUGCAUUUUAAUGCUUUGUUUGAGUUUGAAUUUGUUUUGGUUUGUUUAAUUGUUUAAUUGUUAUUAACUGCUAUCUGAGCUACUUACUGUAACUGUUAUCUAUACUUGUAUUUUUCUUGUCUGUUUUGCCUGUGUUUGCUCUGGUGUGGUACUUUUGAGAUUGAAUUUUAGUGCUGAAUUGAUGAUAAUUGCUGAUUGAUUGUGUGAAUGGACGUGAGGCCGUAAUUGGUUUCUGAUUGAGGUUUAGUUAAGUAUGAAAAAUCACGCUGGUUCAACAUAGACUUAAUGAACCUAUGCUUGGAACAGGUUAGUCCUUCAUACAGUCUAGAAAACUCUUUAAGAUUUUUCUUAUACGAAAAGAAAGGUUUUGGAUUUGAAUAAUUAACUGAUUUCUUUUAAAAAGGUUUUGAAUUUUUUAUGGUUAAACUGUCAGUUUUCAAAAGAUUCAUAAGAUAAGCGACGAUCAUUCUGUUUGAAAACAGUUUUCUUAUUAAAUAUCUUCUUACGACAAUUCUGAAACUCCAUGGUGAAACUGUGUGGUUAGGUUCUCACUGCCCUACAGCUUUAUCUUUUCAAGAAUCGGAUGAAGGAGCUUACGAAGAGCUUUAUUGUGUUUUGUUAUAUGAUGUUGCUGUUUUAGUUAGAUAAUUAUUCUUCCCUUGCCUUUAUUAUUGUAAUAUUGUAAGAGGGAUAGAAGUUUGUAUGUUUUGUAUAUAUAUCAUGGUUAUAAAACCGGACCGGACUGGCCGGUUCAACUGGGUUAACCGAAAAUCGGUCACUUGGCCGGUCCGGUUGACACCUAAAAUCAUUCUACAAAAAACCAGUAAAAAACCGAUCGAAUCGAUGGUUAACCGGUGAACCAACUGAACCGGCUGAGUUUUUAAAGGUUCCAGUUUUUUAUUGUUGCUUGAAACAGCGUCGUUUUUGACACAGACAAAAAAAAGAAAACCUAUACGGUUAGUACAGAAGGCUCCCUGCCUCCCUCUCCCUUCACUUUCACAAUUCACACAACCUAACCCCAAUCAGAGAACUCAGACAAGAGCAACCCCCACCAACAGCUGCUUCUCACUGACUCACCCUCUUCUCCUCAUCGUGGAACAUCGUCGUCGCUCGCGUCGCCCACUUUACUAUCGCACGUCGGUCAUCUUGUCGUCUCGCCUCUUCGUCUCUGUCGCCAGCUCGCCGCCCAAAUCGCCUCUCUGCUCACCUCUCCGUUCUCCGCGGCGAAUGUCCCUGCAUGCUUCUUAAAUGUCGUUGGCGGUAAACUCCUCGACUCUAACCCUCAAUUAGUAGCAGUAGCCAGCAAGUUUACAGCUCCCCAAAUCUGAGAUCCAGCGUUAUCACAGCGGCCAGAUCUGAGAUCUACCUCUCCUUCCCGUUCACCCACUACUCCAUUGAUCUGUUUGUCAGGAUUUGGAGCUGAGCUAGCAUGAGUUUUUGUGGAAUCUUGAUCUGGAAGAAGCGUUAGAAGCAUGCGUUUUUUGUAAUUUCAGAGCAAUUCUCAUUGUAUUUGAGUGUUUGUGGUGGUUCUUGAAGUCUGCAGUGUUGAAUCUUGGAUUUGGUUGCUUUUGGAGAAAAUGUUAGAGCUCAAGGACAUCCCUACGUAAGCUUGGAAAGAAGAAUAUUUUUUUCUGCAUUUUGUGUCUUAAGACUUGUUUUGAUGAUGUUUUGUAUCAACAUUUGAGAGACAACUUGUAUGCGCUGAGACUGUCUAUUGCUAAGAUAACUCUUCUGAAACCAAAUUUUUGGCCUUUUAAUUAAAUCAGUUCAACCACGGUUCCAUCCCGGUUAACCAUUGAACCACUGAACUAGUUACUCGACCGGUUCAAUGACCGGUCCGGUUUUUGCAACCUUGAUAUAUAUUAUAUUUAUAAGCUACUUAUGUAACAAGUUUUGUAUAUAUGAAUAUGCUUAAUGGUUUUCAAAAUAAAGCAUUUUUUCGGGUUUUUCAAAGAAAACAGCGACACAGUUUCACGUCAAAAGCUCAUAUUUUUUUAUUAAGUAUAUAAAGUCGUCGUAAUAUCCCUUGCUAUCAGAGUGGCGCAGCCAAAAGCAUGAUUUAAAAUUCUUUUAAUAUAGUUUUUUUGUUUAUUACGUAAAGUUUAUACAUAUGAAAAACCCUGAUUUGCCAUGGUCUUCAGAUUUAAAGUUGAAAAGUGCGAGAGACAUUGCUGAGUUUUCUAACUUAAUGUCCUACCCCAACCAACUGGACUACUCUUCCUUAGAUUGUCAUCGCUGUCCUCAUCUAUUAUGACGGGAUCCACAUCAUCGUCAUCCCACAAUAUAUCCUCCACGGGAUUCGGUUGUCCACCGUCUCUUGAAACUGGGAUAAUAACAGGAGUAUCUAUCAUCACAAUCACAAGCUCAUCAAAAGAUCGAUUAUCACUAAUUUCUCCAUCAUUAACGCAAUUUAGAUUAACUGUAAAGGACGGAGAUGCCGCCAAUACUGCUUUGGAUGCAAUUACAGGCACAGAUGAAAAGGCAACAACAGACAUUGAACUAGAUUAAGGAAUCCAAUUCAAUCUUCCUGAACUAGAUACCACAUCUCCAAACUUGGCCGAUAGUUCAUAGGUUUUGACCUCGAAAAAUUGACGACGACCAUGAAACAAAACUUGCAAAUCUUCGUCACUAUCUAUUACAAAGGAAUCGUACUUCACACCAUCUCGGAAAACAAAAAUUGAAAUUCUAUAAAAUAAUUUCUUCACUCGUUUCAUGCCAUUAACUCCCAGUUUUUGGAUUAUAGUAUUCUGAAAUUGAGCAAAACUCAUAGAAGGAUUGAUAAAGACACUCAAUAGAUUCUUAUAAGUAAAUUUUAUUCUCUCUCGUAAUUUUUUCUUAAUCAUCCCUUUAUAGUGCACAAAAACUAAAAAAUUAUCAUCACUAGUCAUUGUGAGAGCCACUCUAAUGAGUAAUAAACUUUUUAGUUGUAUUUAUAUAGGACAUAUAUUCGUAGUUAAUCGAAUUAAGUAAAUUCG
Long non-coding RNA from Arachis stenosperma, 10477 nucleotides. RefSeq lists it as uncharacterized. NCBI's taxonomy places the organism in Eukaryota, Viridiplantae, Streptophyta, Magnoliopsida, Fabales, Fabaceae. The record is from RefSeq and is a predicted model, not a curated record. The transcript is spliced from 3 exons.